CACGAAGUUGGAAUUGCUAGUAAUCGCGGAUCAGCAUGCCGCGGUGAAUACGUUCCCGGGUCUUGUACACACCGCCCGUCACACCAUGGGAGCUGGUAACACCCGAAGUCAGUAGUCUAACCGCAAGGAGGACGCUGCCGAAGGUGGGAUUAGCGACUGGGGUGAAGUCGUAACAAGGUACC
RNAcentral lists this ribosomal RNA (182 nucleotides) under uncultured bacterium. Its description in RNAcentral is "partial 16S ribosomal RNA". It matches the Rfam family "Bacterial small subunit ribosomal RNA", at positions 1319 to 1500 of the family's 1533-position model. The record is from RNAcentral.